AGCCAUGCAUGUCUAAGUAUAAAUGUUAUACAGUGAAACUGCGAAUGGCUCAUUAAAACAGUUAUAGUUUAUUUGAUAAUCGAAUUUUACAUGGAUAACCGUGGUAAUUCUAGAGCUAAUACAUGCUGGUUAGCCUGACUUCUAGGAAGGGCUGUAUUUAUUAGAUAACAAACCAAUAUUCCUCGUGUCUAUUGUGAUGACUCAUAAUAACUGAUCGAAUCGCAUGGGCCUUGCCCGCGAUACAUCAUUCAAGUUUCUGCCCCAUCAGCUUUCGAUGGUAGUGUAUUGGACUACCAUGGCUUUAACGGGUAACGGAGGAUUAGGGUUCGAUUCCGGAGAGGGAGCCUGAGAAACGGCUACCACAUCUAAGGAAGGCAGCAGGCGCGUAAAUUACCCAAUCCUGACUCAGGGAGGUAGUGACAAGAAAUAACGGACCGAGGCUUCACGCUUCGGGAUUGCAAUGAGUAGAAUUUAAACCCCUUUACGAGGAUCAAUUAGAG
This 500-nucleotide ribosomal RNA is filed under the name uncultured ciliate. RNAcentral describes it as "SSU rRNA". It matches the Rfam family "Eukaryotic small subunit ribosomal RNA", at positions 47 to 553 of the family's 1831-position model. Lineage: Eukaryota; Ciliophora. The record is from RNAcentral.